UAAUUCCUUUGAUAGCUCGAAAUCUGGUCAGUGGGACUACCUGCCCACCGUGGAUUGUCUCACAUCGACAUGGAAGUUAUAUUGUUAAUAAAAUAAAAUGACAAACUUCAAAGCCUGAUCAUGGUUGAUGAUGGUUGGUUGUGACAUUUUAUGUAUAUCAGUGGACCAGGGGAACCGGUGUGACAUUUUGUUCAUUCAAGUUUAC
Molecule: long non-coding RNA, 205 nt
Filed under: Lathyrus oleraceus (garden pea)
Lineage: Eukaryota; Viridiplantae; Streptophyta; Magnoliopsida; Fabales; Fabaceae
Description: Pisum sativum (pea) long non-coding RNA (PSAT_LNC020347)
Source: RNAcentral